AUAUUAAUAAGCGGAGGAAAAGAAACUAACAAGGAUUCCCUUAGUAACGGCGAGUGAAGCGGGAACAGCUCAAAUUUAAAAUCUCUGAGUUCUACUCAGCGAAUUGUAGUUUAGAGAAGCAUUUUCAAGUCACUGGGGCUGCCUAAGUCCCUUGGAACAGGGCAUCAGAGAGGGUGAGAAUCCGUCAGGUC
RNAcentral lists this ribosomal RNA (191 nucleotides) under uncultured eukaryote. RNAcentral's name for it is "partial large subunit ribosomal RNA". It matches the Rfam family "Eukaryotic large subunit ribosomal RNA", at positions 40 to 229 of the family's 3401-position model. The record is from RNAcentral.